UUACCCCCGCUUGGAACUAAGCAUAUCAAUAAGCGGAGGAAAAGAAACCAACAGGGAUUGCCCUAGUAACGGCGAGUGAAGCGGCAACAGCUCAAAUUUGAAAUCUGGCUCUUUUAGAGUCCGAGUUGUAAUUUGCAGAGGGCGCUUUGGCUUUGGCAGCGGUCCAAGUUCCUUGGAACAGGACGUCACAGAGGGUGAGAAUCCCGUACGUGGUCGCUGGCUAUUGCCGUGUAAAGCCCCUUCGACGAGUCGAGUUGUUUGGGAAUGCAGCUCUAAAUGGGAGGUACAUUUCUUCUAAAGCUAAAUAUUGGCCAGAGACCGAUAGCGCACAAGUAGAGUGAUCGAAAGAUGAAAAGCACUUUGGAAAGAGAGUCAAACAGCACGUGAAAUUGUUGAAAGGGAAGCGCUUGCAGCCAGACUUGCUUGCAGUUGCUCAUCCGGGCUUUUGCCCGGUGCACUCUUCUGUAGGCAGGCCAGCAUCAGUUUGGGCGGUAGGAUAAAGGUCUCUGUCACGUACCUCUCUUCGGGGAGGCCUUAUAGGGGAGACGACAUACUACCAGCCUGGACUGAGGUCCGCGCAUCUGCUAGGAUGCUGGCGUAAUGGCUGUAAGCGGCCCGUCUUGAAACACGGACCAAGGAGUCUAACAUCUAUGCGAGUGUUUGGGUGUCAAGCCCGAGCGCGUAAUGAAAGUGAACGGAGGUGGGAACCCGCAAGGGUGCACCAUCGACCGAUCCUGAUGUCUUCGGAAGGAUUUGAGUAAGAGCAUGGCUGUUGGGACCCGAAAGAUGGUGAACUAUGCUUGAAUAGGGUGAAGCCAGAGGAAACUCUGGUGGAGGCUCGCAGCGGUUCUGACGUGCAAAUCGAUCGUCAAAUUUGGGCAUAGGGGCGAAAGACUAAUCGAACUUCCAUGAUCCGGG
Molecule: ribosomal RNA, 918 nt
Filed under: Alternaria sp.
Lineage: Eukaryota; Fungi; Ascomycota; Dothideomycetes; Pleosporales; Pleosporaceae
Description: partial large subunit ribosomal RNA
Rfam family: Eukaryotic large subunit ribosomal RNA
Source: RNAcentral